UGGAAGAAAAUAAAUAAGAACUUGAAUAUUAAUAGAUAUGUUCUUUAAAAUCAAAGAAUUUGGCGGUAUUUUANUCUUGUUAGAGGAACCUGUUCNGUAAUCGAUAAAACACGUAAGAUUUUUAUUUGCUCUUGUUAUAUCAGUUUGUAUACCGUCAUUAUUAAAUAAUCUUGAAAAAGUUAAUUAUUGGGGUUAGAAGUUUAAGCUAAAUANAUUAGAUCAAGGUGCAGCUUAUGGGCAAGUAGAAAUGGGUUACAAUAAAAUAUAUUUAAACGAAUUGUAGGUAGAAUUACUUACAAAGAAGGUGGAUGUAAUUGUAAAAAUAAUUUAAUAAGUUAUUUUGAUAUAAGCUCUAAAUUAUGUACAUAUCGCCCGUCGCUUUCAUUUAAAAUGAAAUA
This 398-nucleotide ribosomal RNA is filed under the name Metanephrops velutinus (velvet lobster). RNAcentral's name for it is "partial 12S ribosomal RNA". Lineage: Eukaryota; Metazoa; Arthropoda; Malacostraca; Decapoda; Nephropidae. The record is from RNAcentral.